GAGUUUGAUCGUGGCUCAGAUUGAACGCUGGCGGCAUGCCUUACACAUGCAAGUCGAACGGCAGCAUGAUCUAGCUUGCUAGAUUGAUGGCGAGUGGCGAACGGGUGAGUAAUACAUCGGAACGUGCCCUGUAGUGGGGGAUAACUAGUCGAAAGAUUAGCUAAUACCGCAUACGACCUGAGGGUGAAAGUGGGGGACCGCAAGGCCUCAUGCUAUAGGAGCGGCCGAUGUCUGAUUAGCUAGUU
RNAcentral lists this ribosomal RNA (245 nucleotides) under uncultured microorganism. RNAcentral's name for it is "partial 16S ribosomal RNA". It matches the Rfam family "Bacterial small subunit ribosomal RNA", at positions 9 to 250 of the family's 1533-position model. The record is from RNAcentral.